AUAGUUAUUACUGGUUAUUGCUAGGUGUGUUUGGUGUUAUGUAUGAAGGAUAUUUAACUAAUGCUGAAGAUGAUGUUGAAGGAGCAAUACCAGUAAUAAUUAAAACUGUUAAAGAUAAUACUCCUGAUAUUGUUGUAAAGUCGUUAUUGGAGGGCGGGGCUGCUACAAGGGGUGUGAUUCAUCGUCAUUUAUUACCUCUAAUUGGUGCCCAUGCUUCAGAUCUAGAACAACCAAUGUUACUCUAUCCCAAAUCUUCAUUUGGUACUUUAAAAACUUUAUUACU
Molecule: long non-coding RNA, 283 nt
Organism: Amphimedon queenslandica
Lineage: Eukaryota; Metazoa; Porifera; Demospongiae; Haplosclerida; Niphatidae
Exons: 2
Source: RefSeq, a predicted model, not a curated record